UAAUACGUAGGGAGCAAGCGUUAUCCGGAUUUAUUGGGUGUAAAGGGUGCGUAGACGGGACAACAAGUUAGUUGUGAAAUCCCUCGGCUUAACUGAGGAACUGCAACUAAAACUAUUGUUCUUGAGUGUUGGAGAGGAAAGUGGAAUUCCUAGUGUAGCGGUGAAAUGCGUAGAUAUUAGGAGGAACACCGGUGGCAAAGGCGACUUUCUGGACAAUAACUGACGUUGAGGCACGAAAGUGUGGGGAGCAAACAGGAUUAGAUACCCUGGUAGUCCACACCGUAAACGAUGGAUACUAGGUGUAGGAAAUGAUUUCAUUUUCUGUGCCGUCGCAAACGCAAUAAGUAUCCCACCUGGGGAGUACGGCCGCAAGGUUG
RNAcentral lists this ribosomal RNA (377 nucleotides) under uncultured bacterium. Its description in RNAcentral is "bacterial SSU rRNA". It matches the Rfam family "Bacterial small subunit ribosomal RNA", at positions 521 to 896 of the family's 1533-position model. The record is from RNAcentral.